AUGGGUGGCCUUGGCAAAACCACGUUAGCACAGCUCAUAUACAAUGAACCUGAAAUUCAGAAGCAUUUCCAGUUGCUACUUUGGGUAUGUGUCUCUGAUACUUUUGAUGUGAACUCCCUGGCUAAGAGUAUAGUUGAAGCAUCUCCCAACAAAAAUGAUGAUACAGACAAACCACCACUCGAGAGACUUAAAAAAUUGGUUAGUGGACAGAGGUUUCUCCUUGUACUGGAUGAUGUGUGGAACAGAGAGGUCUAUAAGUGGGAAAGGCUGAAGGUCUGUCUUCAACAUGGUGGGAUGGGUAGUGCAAUGUUAACAACAACUCGUGAUAAACAAGUCGCUGAAAUUAUGGGUGCAUGUAGAGCUUACAAUCUCAAUAUUUUGGAGGAUUGCUUCGUGAAGGAAAUUAUUGAGGCUAGAGCAUUCAGUUCGGAGAAAGAAAAGCCUGUCGAGCUAAGCAAGAUGGUUGAUGAGAUUAUAAGCCGAUGUUCUGGCUGUCCUUUAGCUGCAACUGCACUGGGCUCUGUACUUCAUACCAAGACUAGCAUCGAAGAAUGCAAGGCUAUAUCAUCUAGAAGCAACAUUUGCACUUUGGAAACUGGAAUUCUGCCAAUAUUAAAGCUUAGCUAUAAUGACUUGCCAUCACACAUGAAGCAAUGCUUUGCCUUUUGUGCUGUAUUUCCAAAGGAUUACAAGAUUGAUGUGGACAAGCUGAUCCGACUAUGGAUCGCAAAUGGCUUUAUCCCAGAGCACAAGGAAGAUAGUCUUGAAACCAUUGGAAAACGUAUUUUUAUUGAGCUUGCCUCAAGGUCAUUCUUUCUGGACAUAAAGGAAAGUAAAGACUUCAGGGGGUAUUAUUCCAUGAGGUAUUAUCCCAGAACUACAUGUAAAAUCCAUGAUCUCAUGCAUGAUGUUACAAUAUCUGUUAUGGAAAAGGAAUGUGUUGCUGGAACUAAGGAAUCAAAUCAAAACGAGUGGCUUCUAGAUAAUACUCGUCAUCUAUUUUUGUCGUGUAGAAAUAUAGAAGGUAUUUUGAAUCAUUCUAUGGAGAAACGGCCCCAUGCUAUCCAAACACUGUUAUGCAAUAAUGUUGUCUGGAGCUCACUACACCAUCUAUCAAAGUACAGCUCUAUGCACGCCUUGCAAAUCUGUGUGAGAACAGAAAUAUUUCUCCUGAAACCAAAGUAUCUGCAUCACCUGAGGUACCACUAG
RNAcentral lists this ribosomal RNA (1209 nucleotides) under Triticum aestivum (bread wheat). RNAcentral's name for it is "partial small subunit ribosomal RNA". The record is from RNAcentral. Lineage: Eukaryota; Viridiplantae; Streptophyta; Magnoliopsida; Poales; Poaceae.